GAUGAACGCUAGCGGCAGGCCUAACACAUGCAAGUCGAGGGAGAAGCCCUUCGGGGCAGAAACCGGCGCACGGGUGCGUAACGCGUAUGCAACCUACCUUUCACAGGGGGAUAGCCCGAAGAAAUUCGGAUUAAUACCCCAUAAUAUUAUUGGAUGGCAUCAUUUGAUAAUUAAAAUUACGAUGGUGAAAGAUGGGCAUGCGUCCUAUUAGCUAGUUGGAGUGGUAACGGCACCCCAAGGCUACGAUAGGUAGGGGUCCUGAGAGGGAGAUCCCCCACACUGGUACUGAGACAGGGACCAGACUCCUACGGGAGGCAGCAGUGAGGAAUAUUGGUCAAUGGUCGGAAGACUGAACCAGCCAUGCCGCGUGCAGGAAGAAUGCCUUAUGGGUUGUAAACUGCUUUUAUAUGGGAAGAAUAAGGAGUACGUGUACUUUGAUGACGGUACCAUAUGAAUAAGCAUCGG
This 465-nucleotide ribosomal RNA is filed under the name Capnocytophaga granulosa. RNAcentral describes it as "bacterial SSU rRNA". It matches the Rfam family "Bacterial small subunit ribosomal RNA", at positions 28 to 496 of the family's 1533-position model. The record is from RNAcentral. Lineage: Bacteria; Pseudomonadati; Bacteroidota; Flavobacteriia; Flavobacteriales; Flavobacteriaceae.